This 468-nucleotide ribosomal RNA is filed under the name uncultured bacterium. RNAcentral's name for it is "partial 16S ribosomal RNA". It matches the Rfam family "Bacterial small subunit ribosomal RNA", at positions 28 to 507 of the family's 1533-position model. The record is from RNAcentral.
GACGAACGCUGGCGGCGUGCUUAACACAUGCAAGUCGAACGGAAAGGCCCUGCUUUUGUGGGGUGCUCGAGUGGCGAACGGGUGAGUAACACGUGAGUAACCUGCCCUUGACUUUGGGAUAACUUCAGGAAACUGGGGCUAAUACCGGAUAGGAGCUCCUGCUGCAUGGUGGGGGUUGGAAAGUUUCGGCGGUUGGGGAUGGACUCGCGGCUUAUCAGCUUGUUGGUGGGGUAGUGGCUUACCAAGGCUUUGACGGGUAGCCGGCCUGAGAGGGUGACCGGCCACAUUGGGAAUGAGAUACGGCCCAGACUCCUACGGGAGGCAGCAGUGGGGAAUAUUGCACAAUGGGCGGAAACCUGAUGCAGCAACGCCGCGUGCGGGAUGACGGCCUUCGGGUUGUAAACCGCUUUCGCCUGUGACGAAGCGUGAGUGACGGUAAUGGGUAAAGAAGCACCGGCUAACUACGUG